This 293-nucleotide ribosomal RNA is filed under the name uncultured bacterium. RNAcentral's name for it is "partial 16S ribosomal RNA". It matches the Rfam family "Bacterial small subunit ribosomal RNA", at positions 505 to 796 of the family's 1533-position model. The record is from RNAcentral.
GUGUCAGCCGCCGCGGUAAGACGAACCUUGCAAACGUUAUUCGGAAUCACUGGGCUUAAAGCGCGUGUAGGCGGGCCGCCACGUCGGGCGCUGAAAUCCCCCGGCUCAACCGGGGAAUGGGCACCGAUACGAGCGGCCUCGAGGGGAGUAGGGGGACCUGGAACUUCCGGUGGAGCGGUGAAAUGCGUUGAGAUCGGAAGGAACGCCCGUGGCGAAAGCGAGGUCCUGGGCUUCUACUGACGCUGAGACGCGAAAGCCAGGGGAGCGAACGGGAUUAGAAACCCUAGUAGUCC